Small nuclear RNA from Apodemus sylvaticus (European woodmouse), 105 nucleotides. Lineage: Eukaryota; Metazoa; Chordata; Mammalia; Rodentia; Muridae. The record is from RefSeq and is a predicted model, not a curated record.
GUUUGCUUAGGUAGUACAUUUAUUAAUAUUGGAAUGACACAGAGAAGAUUAACCAAUCCCCUGUGCAAGAAUGACCCCAAACAUAAAGCACUGCACACACACACA